GAGCGCGACUCUUCGGAUGUUAGCGGCGGACGGGUGAGUACACGUGGGCAAUCUGCCUGACAGACUGGAAUAACGCCUGGAAACGGGUGCUAAUGCCAGAUAGCGCAGCGGGUAGGCAUCUACCAGCUGGGAAAGGUGCUACGGCACUACUGUCAGAGGAGCCCGCGGCGCAUUAGCUAGUUGGUGAGGUAACGGCCCACCAAGGCGACGAUGCGUAGCCGACCUGAGAGGGUGACCGGCCACACUGGGACUGAGACACGGCCCAGACUCCUACGGGAGGCAGCAGUAGGGAAUCUUCCGCAAUGGGCGAAAGCCUGACGGAGCAACGCCACGUGAGCGAAGAAGGCCUUCGGGUUGUAAAGCUCAGUCACCCGGGAAGAGCGAAUCGGAGAGGGAAUGCUCCGAUUGAGACGGUACCGGGAGAGGAAGCCCCGGCUAACUACGUGCCAGCAGCCGCGGUAAU
Molecule: ribosomal RNA, 463 nt
Filed under: uncultured bacterium
Lineage: Bacteria
Description: bacterial SSU rRNA
Rfam family: Bacterial small subunit ribosomal RNA
Source: RNAcentral